RNAcentral lists this ribosomal RNA (477 nucleotides) under uncultured bacterium. Its description in RNAcentral is "bacterial SSU rRNA". It matches the Rfam family "Bacterial small subunit ribosomal RNA", at positions 1 to 524 of the family's 1533-position model. The record is from RNAcentral.
GAACGAACCUUGUAGGACUUGAACCUGCGUCUUCGGACAAAGGGGAUAGCCCUACGCCGGUUAGUGGCGGACGGGUGAGUAACGCGUGAGUAACCUGCCUUUUGGAGGGGGACAACAGCUGGAAACGGCUGCUAAUACCGCAUAAUGUAAUUGCAUUGCAUGGUGUGAUUAUCAAAGAUUUAUCGCCAAAAGAUGGACUCGCGUCUGAUUAGAUAGUCGGUGGGGUAACGGCCUACCAAGUCGACGAUCAGUAGCCGAGCUGAUAGGCUCAACGGCCACAUUGGGACUGAGACACGGCCCAUACUCCUACGGGAGGCAGCAGUGGGGGAUAUUGCGCAAUGGGGGAAACCCUGACGCAGCAACGCCGCGUGAAGGAUGAAGGUUUUCGGAUCGUAAACUUCUUUAAUUGGGGAACAAACAAAUGAGGGUACCCAAAGAAUAAGCCACGGCUAACUACGUGCCAGCAGCCGCGGUAAU